This 407-nucleotide ribosomal RNA is filed under the name uncultured bacterium. RNAcentral describes it as "partial 16S ribosomal RNA". It matches the Rfam family "Bacterial small subunit ribosomal RNA", at positions 30 to 526 of the family's 1533-position model. The record is from RNAcentral.
AUUGAACGCUGGCGGCAGGCCUAACACAUGCAAGUCGAGCGGAGCGUCGGACGGGUGAGUAAUGCCUAGGAAUCUGCCUGGUAGUGGGGGAUAACGUCCGGAAACGGGCGCUAAUACCGCAUCCUAUCAGCUGAGCCUGGGUCGGAUUAGCUAGUUGGUUGGGUAAAGUCCUACCAAGGCGACGAUCCGUAACUGGUCUGAGAGGAUGAUCAGUCACACUGGAAAUGAGACACGGUCUAGACUCCGACGGGAGGCAGCAGUGGGGAAUAGUUGACAAGGGGCGAAAGCCUGCUCCAGGCAUGCCGCGUGUAGGCAGAAGGUCUUCGGAUGGUAAAGCACUUUAAGUUGAGAGGCGUUACCAACAGAAUAAGCACCGGCUAACUUCGUGCCAGCAGCCGCGGUAAUAC